This 450-nucleotide ribosomal RNA is filed under the name uncultured bacterium. RNAcentral's name for it is "partial 16S ribosomal RNA". It matches the Rfam family "Bacterial small subunit ribosomal RNA", at positions 354 to 796 of the family's 1533-position model. The record is from RNAcentral.
GUGGGGAAUUUUGGACAAUGGGGGCAACCCUGAUCCAGCCAUCCCGCGUGUGCGAUGAAGGCCUUCGGGUUGUAAACUGCUUUUGUACGGAACGAAACGGUCCUGGUUAAUACCCGGGGCUAAUGACGGUACCGUAAGAAUAAGCACCGGCUAACUACGUGCCAGCAGCCGCGGUAAUACGUAGGGUGCAAGCGUUAAUCGGAAUUACUGGGCGUAAAGCGUGCGCAGGCGGUGCUGUAAGACAGGCGUGAAAUCCCCGGGCUUAACCUGGGAAUUGCGCUUGUGACUGCAGUGCUGGAGUGCGGCAGAGGGGGAUGGAAUUCCGCGUGUAGCAGUGAAAUGCGUAGAUAUGCGGAGGAACACCGAUGGCGAAGGCAAUCCCCUGGGCCUGCACUGACGCUCAUGCACGAAAGCGUGGGGAGCAAACAGGAUUAGAUACCCCGGUAGUCC